Molecule: non-coding RNA, 22 nt
Filed under: Arabidopsis thaliana (thale cress)
Lineage: Eukaryota; Viridiplantae; Streptophyta; Magnoliopsida; Brassicales; Brassicaceae
Source: RNAcentral
UUGAUUGGCGUUUACUCCAUAA